This 631-nucleotide ribosomal RNA is filed under the name uncultured fungus. RNAcentral describes it as "eukaryotic LSU rRNA". It matches the Rfam family "Eukaryotic large subunit ribosomal RNA", at positions 24 to 664 of the family's 3401-position model. Lineage: Eukaryota; Fungi. The record is from RNAcentral.
CCCGCUGAACUUAAGCAUAUCAAUAAGCGGAGGAAAAGAAACCAACAGGGAUUGCCUCAGUAACGGCGAGUGAAGCGGCAACAGCUCAAAUUUGAAAUCUGGCUCUUUCAGGGUCCGAGUUGUAAUUUGUAGAGGAUGCUUCGGCGUGGGCUCCGGUCUAAGUUCCUUGGAACAGGACGUCACAGAGGGUGAGAAUCCCGUAUGUGAUCGGUUGCCUUUGCCAUGUGAAGCUCCUUCGACGAGUCGAGUUGUUUGGGAAUGCAGCUCUAAAUGGGAGGUAAAUUUCUUCUAAAGCUAAAUACUGGCCAGAGACCGAUAGCGAACAAGUACCGUGAGGGAAAGAUGAAAAGCACUUUGGAAAGAGAGUUAAACAGUACGUGAAAUUGUUAAAAGGGAAACGCUUGAAGUCAGUCACGUUUGCUUGGACUCAGCCUUACUUCGGUUUGGUGCAUUUCCUUGCAGACGGGCCAGCGUCCAUGUUGUUUGCCGGAGAAGGGGUUGAGGGAAUGUGGCUCCUUCGGGAGUGUUAUAGCCCUCACUCGUAUGCGGGGAGUGAUAUGGAGUGACACAGCACGCUUCGGUGGUGCUUGUGCUGGCAUAAUGGCUUUAAACGACCCGUCUUGAAACACGG